RNAcentral lists this ribosomal RNA (621 nucleotides) under uncultured bacterium. RNAcentral describes it as "bacterial SSU rRNA". It matches the Rfam family "Bacterial small subunit ribosomal RNA", at positions 100 to 717 of the family's 1533-position model. The record is from RNAcentral.
GAACGGGUGAGUAAUAUAUCGGAACGUACCCAGAAGUGGGGGAUAACGCAGCGAAAGUUGCGCUAAUACCGCAUACGAUCUACGGAUGAAAGUGGGGGACUCGUAAGGGCCUCAUGCUUUUGGAGCGGCCGAUAUCUGAUUAGCUAGUUGGUGAGGUAAAAGCUCACCAAGGCGACGAUCAGUAGCUGGUCUGAGAGGACGACCAGCCACACUGGGACUGAGACACGGCCCAGACUCCUACGGGAGGCAGCAGUGGGGAAUUUUGGACAAUGGGGGCAACCCUGAUCCAGCAAUGCCGCGUGUGUGAAGAAGGCCUUCGGGUUGUAAAGCACUUUUGUCAGGAACGAAACGGUUUUGGCUAAUACCUGGAACUAAUGACGGUACCUGAAGAAUAAGCACCGGCUAACUACGUGCCAGCAGCCGCGGUAAUACGUAGGGUGCAAGCGUUAAUCGGAAUUACUGGGCGUAAAGCGUGCGCAGGCGGUUUUGUAAGACAGAUGUGAAAUGCCCGGGCUUAACCUGGGAACUGCAUUUGUGACUGCAAGGCUAGAAUCUGGCAGAAGGGGGGUAGAAAUUCCACCGUGUAAGCCAGUGAAAAAUGCCGUAAGAAUUUUGUUGGAG